GCCAUCAGUAGGGGUGUUGUCAUGGCAACCCCCACCCCUUCCUCUGAACGUCAGAGUUGGGAGCUGGAGGAUGAAGCCGCAUGCAGCUUCUGUCUCUCGCGCUUCUCAGAGAGCACCUGUGAUUUCUGCCGCCUCGCGUGCAAACGGUGGGAGCUGCAGCGCCGGGACUAAUCUCAUGAUUGUUUUGACUCGUUCCAGCUGCUUUUCAUCGCAUACCAUCACCAUCAAACGCCAAGAGACAGACUGACAGAUCGUUAUGUCGUGGUUGUUCUUGGACUGGUUCGUGCCCCUUUAUCUGCUGGUGUCCGUUUUGGUGCUGGCAGGCUUCGGAGCGUGCCUGUACUUCCUCGAGCCCGGGUUGCAAGAUGCCCACAAAUGGAGUAACAAAACAAUCCGGCAUCACCCGCUGGUGGCCAGCGUGAACUGCAGAGAUGACGAUAGCAAUGCCCUGAUAUGAUCAAGGGGGUGAGACGGGUAUGAGCGAGCUGGCCAUGUGGACAGGGGCACAGGCGCAACACAACAGGGGAUGGGGGGCCAACACCUGGGUGACUAAAAAUGAGUAAAAAGAUAGAGAUGAUCUGAUAAUAAUAAUCAUUUAAAACGUUCUGUAUCAUUCCAGCUUUUCUCUGCUCUCUGUGGAUUUUCACUGCAGAUAUCAGAGAAAAAUGAAGUAGAAUUUUAUAUCAAAGAAUUCUUAAAUCGAUGCCAAACACACAUGGCAGAAAGAAAGUGUGAAGUUUUUUUUUUUUUUUUUGGAGGACACCUUGCCCUUUAGUGUUUGUAAAUUUCAUGUCAUCUUGUCUUUGUGCCAACUUUUAAAUACCAUUUUUGUAAUUUGACAAUCACUUUACACGUCUCAUUUACUUAUAUUGUGUAAUUUAAAUAAAGUGACGUGAAUGACAUAAGUGCAAUGACUUUGCUGCCAGUGGGGAGGAUUUUUCAAUCCUCUACUCGAUGUCAGCAUGGCAGCUGCUGACACACACGGAGAUUGUUGGUGCUGCUUUGUCAAAAUGGUGUAACACCUUGAAAUAAUGUUCUUGGAAUAAAUUCAAGUGACGUGUGAGGUGUCAAGGUAAUCUUAGAUGGACCAAGACAGCAGACAAGUAGUAUGUGGUGGUGCUUUAAAUGUGCAUUGAUUAUUUUUACUUGACAGCAUGAUAAGGAAAUUGUGUAAAAACUCUCCUCUGCUGAUCACAUGCCUCUUUUGUUCAUACAAAAAUAAAAACUGUUUGAUCCAGUUGAA
Melanotaenia boesemani (Boeseman's rainbowfish) is the source of this 1243-nucleotide long non-coding RNA. RefSeq lists it as uncharacterized. The transcript is spliced from 2 exons. Lineage: Eukaryota; Metazoa; Chordata; Actinopteri; Atheriniformes; Melanotaeniidae. The record is from RefSeq and is a predicted model, not a curated record.